Molecule: ribosomal RNA, 470 nt
Filed under: uncultured Pelotomaculum sp.
Lineage: Bacteria; Bacillati; Bacillota; Clostridia; Eubacteriales; Desulfotomaculaceae
Description: bacterial SSU rRNA
Rfam family: Bacterial small subunit ribosomal RNA
Source: RNAcentral
GGGGCCCGCACAAGCGGUGGAGCAUGUGGUUUAAUUCGACGCAACGCGAAGAACCUUACCUGGGCUUGACAUCCCGAUCGUACCUGCUGGAAACAGCGGGGUCAGUUCGGCUGGAUCGGAGACAGGUGCUGCAUGGGCUGUCGUCAGCUCGUGUCGUGAGAUGUUGGGUUAAGUCCCGCAACGAGCGCAACCCCUACGUUUAGUUGCUAACGCGUGAAGGCGAGCACUCUAGACGAACUGCCGUUGACAAAACGGAGGAAGGUGGGAUGACGUCAAAUCAUCAUGCCCCUUAUGUUCUGGGCUACACACGUGCUACAAUGGCCGGUACAGACGGACGCAAAGCCGCGAGGUGGAGCAAAUCCUAAAAAGCCGGUCUCAGUUCGGAUUGCAGGCUGCAAUUCGCCUGCAUGAAGUCGGAAUCGCUAGUAAUCGCAGGUCAGCAUACUGCGGUGAAUACGUUCCCGGGCCUU